Molecule: long non-coding RNA, 1367 nt
Filed under: Salmo salar (Atlantic salmon)
Lineage: Eukaryota; Metazoa; Chordata; Actinopteri; Salmoniformes; Salmonidae
Description: lncRNA (ENSSSAG00000105451.1)
Source: RNAcentral
CUCAGGUGCGGGACGUAAACCUUGCUCCACCUUCGGCGUCGUCCACUUUGGUGGCGCUGAUAGCUGCGCCGGGCAGACGGGCUACUCGAGCUGACCCUGGCAGACAGGCCCACUCACGCUGGGCCGGAGGACAGGCGGGCCACUCGGGCUGGGCCGGAGGACAGUCGGGCCACUCGGGCUAGGCCGGAGGACAGGCGGGCCACUCUGGCAGAUCCGACACGACGGGCCACUCUGGCGGGCCACUCUGGCAGACCAGGCACGACGGGCCACUCUGGCAGAUCCGGCUCAGGAUUCACCAGGCUGGGGAGACAAGAAGGAGGCCUGGCUCUGGGCGCAGGCGCUGGACUCACCAGUCUGGGAAGACCCGCUGGAGGCCUGGUUUGAGGAGGUGGCACAGGAGAGACCAGGGUGGAGAGACCCACUGGAGGACUGGUCCGUGGAGGAGGCACGGGUUUGACCAGGAUGGGGAGACCCACUGGAGGAGACCCACUGGAGGACUGGUCCGUGGAGAAGGCACGGGUUUGACCAGGAUGGGAAGACAUGCAGGAGGCCUGGUUCUGGGCGUAGGCACAGGACGUGCAGGGCUGGGAAGACAUGCAGGAGGCCUGUUUCUGGGCGCAGGCACAGUCUUUAUCAGACAACCAGCACGCACCUCAGGACGAGUAUGGAGAGCUGCCUCAGGUGACAUCAUUCCCACGACACGCUCAUUAGGGCGAAUGCCGUACUUUAUGCACCACACUAGCAGCUCUCUCAUCUCUCUCUCCUUUAAUUUACCCAUUAACUCUGUCACAGUCUCUGCCUCGUACCCCUCGCUCACCUCCCAUGUCAGCCCGACUGGCUCUGGUUCCGACCUCCGCUCCACCGACUGUCCCGUGUGCCCCCCCCCAAAAUGUUUUUAUUGGGGCUGCCUCGUUGCGCUCUCUCUCCUCGUAAUAGCGCCUCUCCGCUCUCGCCGCUUCAAUCUCCCACUGCGGGAGGCGAUAAUCCCCAGCCUGAGUCCAUGGUCCCUCUCCGUCCAGGAUUUGUUCCCAAGUCCAUUGGUCCAUCACGCUGUACUCCUGCUGCUCCUUCCUCUUCCGCCGCUUGGUCCUGGUUUGGUGGGUAAUUCUGUAACAGCUGUCUGAGGAAGUGGACCAAAAUGCGGCGGAGUUAGGGUUCGUCAUAUUUUAAUCAACGGAACACUAUACAAUUUAACAAAACAAGAAAACUGACAGCCAACACAGUCCUGUCAGGUGCAACCACUAUGACAAGAACAAUUACCCACGAAACACAAAGGAAACGUAGGCAACUUAUGUGUGACUCCCAAUCAACCACAACCCUCUACAGCUGUGCCUGAUUGGAAGUCACACGGCCAAAAUCAACGAAAC